CUAUGGGUCUCCAGGUUUCCAUUGUCCCCUAUGGGUUUCUGUUCAGUAUUUCUCUCUAGCGCCCCCUAGCGGCGGUCCUCCCUCUGCUCCAUAGCGCCCCCUAGCGGCGGUCCUCCCUCUGCUCCAUAGCGCCCCCUAGCAGCGGUCCUCCCACUGCUCCAUAGCUCCCCCUAUGUGUCUCCAGGUCUUCAUUGUACCCUAUGGGUUUCUGUUCAGUAUUUCUCUUUAGCGCCCCCUAGCGGCGGUCCUCCCUCUGCUCCAUAGCGCCCCCUAGUGGCGGUCCUCCCACUGCUCCAUAGCGCCCCCUAGAGGCAGUCCUCCCACUGCUCCAUAGCGCCCCCUAUGGGUCUCCAGGUUUCCAUUGUCCCCAUGGGUUUCUGUUCAGUAUUUCUCCAUAGCGCCCCCUAGCGGCGGUCCUCCCACUGCUCCAUAGCGCCCCCUAGCGGCGGUCCUCCCACUGCUCCAUAGCGCCCCCUAGCGGCGGUCCUCCCACUGCUCCAUAGCGCCCCCUAGCGGCUGUCCUCCAACUGCUCCAUAGCGCCUCCUAUGGGUCUCCAUGUCUCCAUUGUCCCCUAUGGGUUUCUGUUCAGUAUUUCUCCAUAGCGCCCCCUAGCGGCGGUCCUCCCACUGCUCCAUGGCGUCCCCUAGCGGCGGUCCUCCCACUGCUCCAUAGCGCCCCCUAUGGGUCUCCAGAUUUCCAUUGCCCCCUAUGGAUUUCUGUUCAGUAUUUCUCUCUAGCGCCCCCUAGCGGCGGUCCUCCCACCGCUCCAUAGCGCCCCCUAGAGGCAGUCCUCCCAUUGCUCUAUAGCGCUCCCUAUGGGUCUCCAUGUCUCCAUUGCCCCCUAUGGGUUUCUGUUCAGUAUUUCUCUCUAGCGCCCCCUAGCGACGGUCCUCCCACCGCUCCAUAGCGCCCCCUAUGGGUCUCCAUGUCUCCAUUGUCCCCUAUGGGUUUCUGGUCAGUUUUUCUCCCUAGCGCCCCCUAGCGGCGGUCCUCCCAUCUCUCCAUAGCGCCUUCCAGUGGUCAUCCUGGCAUUGCUCCAUAGCGCCCCCUAGCGGCGGUCCUCUCACCGCUCCAUAGCGCCC
This 1083-nucleotide long non-coding RNA is filed under the name Gallus gallus (chicken). Its description in RNAcentral is "lncRNA (ENSGALG00010000484.1)". Lineage: Eukaryota; Metazoa; Chordata; Aves; Galliformes; Phasianidae. The record is from RNAcentral.